Molecule: long non-coding RNA, 1373 nt
Organism: Papaver somniferum (opium poppy)
Lineage: Eukaryota; Viridiplantae; Streptophyta; Magnoliopsida; Ranunculales; Papaveraceae
Exons: 3
Source: RefSeq, a predicted model, not a curated record
CCAAGAAGAAGAUGGAAGAGAAGGAGCUUCCUCCGGAUGAAAAGCGUUGUUGUCAAACUAGUAAUAGACAGGAAAUUUAAAAUGGGUCAUGGUACUUCUGGUGCUGCUGCUGAUCAAAUUUUGUGAAAAACAUUACUAUGACUACGCAAAGUAUUAUAAGAAGAAGCUUCUUGAGAAGAAGAAGACAAGUGGAGAUCGUGAAGGUGCAGUUGCAGGUUGUAGUGCUACUGGUGGUCCUAUACAAACUAGGGCUUCCAAACGGAGGAAGAAGGUUACUGAGGAAGAUGACAGGUCCAUUGAUGAAACAGGAGGAAUUCAAUCAGCUACUAGUAGUGAUGAUUCCCCUGAUAGAAUUCUAGAAGGUGGUUCUGCCAAUAUUGAGAGGAAGGGGGAAAAUGUCGAAAGAGCAUAAGGGCCUGGAGAACUUGAAUCAUUGACAAGAAUUACGGAACCUAUGGUCGAAUAGGAAAGUCUGGAGCAUUAUAAGAGUAAGUGUUUUCAAUUGUCUGUGGAGCUUGACAAGAUGAAAGUAGAGCAUGAGAAGAUGAGAGUAGAGUUUGAGAAGAAGAAAGUGGAAUGCACUACACUCCAGGUUAAAUUAACGGAGGCAGAAACUGCUGCUACAGAUGAGACUGAAUGGGAAACCGCAAAUGCAACUGAGUGUUGUAGGAAGAUGAUGUCCAAUUUUGAGAGUCGACUCCUGAGGAUGGAAAAUGAAAAGUCAAAAAUGGGAUGUUUAGAGUCUCAGAUUUUGAAUUUGGAGAGAGUAAACCUGAGAAUGGAAAUUGAAAGUUUAACAAUGGGAUGUGUAGAAUCUCGCGUUUCAAAUUUGGAGAGCCUAGUUUUGAGGAGUCGAAAGGAAAGUUCAAUACUGAGAUGUGUUAGAUCGCGUGAUUCUGAAAAGAUAGAGUUCGAAGCGCAGGGCUUACAGAAUGACGUUACUCAAGGUGGUGAAAAGCAAAGAGAUAAACACGACCGGAGCACACCUAAUGCUGAAACCAGCAGUGGAGGGAGGAAGGAUUCUUAUGUGUUCAAGUUUAAAACCGAAGGCAUAUGAUGUUGAUGUCAAUAAACAUCAUGAAUCAGAGUCUGAAUUUUCCAAAUACUUUACUAUGAACAUUUUGUCUGGAAGUCUACAUUUAUCAAGUGGGGGAGAAAACAUUGAGGAAGGUAACUGUUGGGGCUUUUCGGAAGAGAGACCAUCUCAACAUGGAUCAUCAUCUCAAGAUCAACUGGGUUUAAGAUGACUUCUGUGAAAUCGACAGCAUAUAUCUGAAGACAAAAUAUCACCCAAUGUGUUGGUCAUUAACGGUACAGGCUCAGGUGUACUACUUUGGCCAAGUUUCUAAUGGAUGAGGACUGCAAAGGUGACC